This is a non-coding RNA of Phascolarctos cinereus (koala), 346 nucleotides long. NCBI's taxonomy places the organism in Eukaryota, Metazoa, Chordata, Mammalia, Diprotodontia, Phascolarctidae. The record is from RefSeq and is a predicted model, not a curated record.
UGAUUGAAUCAGAGACCACAUCUCUGGUCAAAGCAUAAAUACUCUGGGGCUCACUCAAGCACUCCAAUCAAGAAGGACUACAGUUUUAACAGCAAAAAGCACUUCACAUCUGAGGAUGAACAGGGUUGAUCUGGAUGAUCUGAGCGCUACAUUUUAAUGUAGCAGCUUCUCCAGGCACUGGCACGGCUUGCGCUGGUACUGUGUGUAGCGUCAAGGUGCUACAUGAAGGGUACUGAGAAACUGGAGUGUGCCCAGAGGGGGGCGACAAGGCUGCUGCAAUACCUCAACAUCACCUCAUGUUGAAAGAACUAGCAAAGAAUUGGAAACGGAGGGGAUGCCCAUCAAC